This 522-nucleotide long non-coding RNA is filed under the name Ananas comosus (pineapple). Its description in RNAcentral is "long non-coding RNA (ACOM_LNC015125)". Lineage: Eukaryota; Viridiplantae; Streptophyta; Magnoliopsida; Poales; Bromeliaceae. The record is from RNAcentral.
GAGCCGUGCACCGAUCUGCUACAUGGCGUUUCAUUAUUGGCUCUAACUAUUACCCCCUCGACAGCUCCCGAACAGAUGGUUCGGUAGCUAGCGUAAUCUCUUCCGAAGGAGCGGAUUUCAAAAUCAUUAUUUCAAAUUGCCUUGUACCGUCUUUCUCUCAGCCGUCCUUUCGCUUUCGACUGCCACAAUCUCCCAGACAUUCCUUUUUAUCUCUUAUGCGACAUUUCUUAGGUCAUUUAUUGCCGCCGUCUCGUCAUCAUUAAAGCCGUUUCAGGAAUUCCAUCCAACGACCCUUUUUUUUUUUGUCUCUUUUGUUUUCUUUUUCCCUACGCUUCUCAUUUUCUCUCUUUUUCCUUGCUUUUUUUUCUCCUUCCUUCGUUCUUUCUUCUUUCGUCUCCUCUAAUGGCUCCGUUUCCUUCUCUUCCUUCUUCUCCAUCUCUCGAUUAUACAUUACUUUGACAAUUCGUUCCGUCAAACCCUUCUCGAUUUAUUUUAGGUCCUUCGUUUACAGAUGAACCCUAU